RNAcentral lists this long non-coding RNA (990 nucleotides) under Homo sapiens (human). RNAcentral's name for it is "non-protein coding lnc-ZCCHC7-2:26". The record is from RNAcentral. Lineage: Eukaryota; Metazoa; Chordata; Mammalia; Primates; Hominidae.
CUCUACGCGUUUUGGUCCCUGUUUGGUGCUUUCUGUUUGCAGCUACGGCAGUGAGUAUGUAUGUGACGGACCCCGAGUCACCCGCGGCCUGGGACCCCUGCCUACCCUCCGUCUCGCCAGCCGAGCUGUGGAACUAGCGCGUGCCCCCUCGCCGACCUCGGCGUCUCCGGUCCGCCCCUCACUUGUGGUGGGGCGCAGCUCCUGGUCCCUCAGCUGCGCGCCGCCCCACGCGGCCGGGCUGCGGGUCUAGGGGGUCCGCAUCUCCCUGGCUUUCCAAGGGCUAAGGUCGUGAUUCUAGGGCGGCUGGGCGUCCAGGGCCUCGGUGGGGGUGGCGUGUCUGCCCUUUUUAUCUCCCCGCAAGGCCCCCAGUCUUCUAGGGAAGCCAGUCAGUGAAGCGCGGAGGUCCGGGCGCGCCGAGAGAGAGUCCAGUCUUUGAGGACCGAGUAGUCCUGGGCCACCUCCCGCCUCUGCUGUCAGAAGCAGCAGCUGCCGCCGUGGAAUCCAAAAUUUCGGGAGCUGUGACCCUUUCCUCAUGUAAAACGAGUAGUCUUGGACGGCUGGAGUGUAGUGGCGUGAUCAUAGCUCACUGUCAACUUUGAACACUUGGGCUCAAGCUAUCCUCCCUCAGCCUCCCAAGGUGGGAGGUACAGAUCUGGGCAUAGGAACCAAUCAGAAACAAUCGCUUCAGCAAUCAAGACCAUUGUUCAUCAUGGAGGAACCCAUGGAUACCUCUGAGCCUCUAUCUGCAUUACCAUUCACUGGGCAGCAGUCUUUUGAGCCAAGUGGCAAAUUUGGACAGUAUCCAUCGAUGCAGAUGAACCACAUCCAGGCACUGGGGAAGUGGAGGACAUAGAACAGCUCAAUCAGUGUUUGAUCCAACACUUCCAUCUCAUUAAGACAAGUUUGAUUUUUCUUUGCUUUUUAUUUCAUGGAAUACAUGAGAAUCUCUUAACUGUUGGAGUUUCCAAGGAGGCAUACCUCAUGACUUCA